RNAcentral lists this ribosomal RNA (881 nucleotides) under Pseudohydnum gelatinosum. RNAcentral describes it as "partial large subunit ribosomal RNA". It matches the Rfam family "Eukaryotic large subunit ribosomal RNA", at positions 72 to 941 of the family's 3401-position model. The record is from RNAcentral. Lineage: Eukaryota; Fungi; Basidiomycota; Agaricomycetes; Auriculariales.
GGAUUCCCCUAGUAACGGCGAGUGAAGCGGGAAAAGCUCAAAUUUGAAAUCUGGCGGUCUACGGCCGUCCGAGUUGUAGUCUAGAGAGGUGUCUUCUGCGUCGGACCAUGCACAAGUCCCUUGGAACAGGGCGUCAUAGAGGGUGAGAAUCCCGUCCGUGGCAUGGACUCCCGGUGCUUUGUGAUGCGCCUUCGAAGAGUCGAGUUGUUUGGGAAUGCAGCUCAAAAUGGGUGGUAAAUUCCAUCUAAAGCUAAAUACAGGCGAGAGACCGAUAGCGAACAAGUACCGUGAGGGAAAGAUGAAAAGCACUUUGGAAAGAGAGUUAAACAGUACGUGAAAUUGUUGAAAGGGAAACGCUUGGAGUCAGUCGCGUUUGCCGGGACUCAGCCUUGCUUCUGCUUGGUGCACUUCCUGGUACACGGGCCAGCAUCGAUUUUGAUCGCCGGAAAAAGGCUUGGGGAAGGUGGCACCUUCGGGUGUGUUAUAGCCCCUUGUUGUAUACGGUGGUUGGGAUUGAGGACCGCAGCACGCCUUUUGGUCGGGGUUCGCCCACGCCACGUGCUUAGGAUGCUGGCGUAAUGGCUUUAAACGACCCGUCUUGAAACACGGACCAAGGAGUCUAACAUGCCUGCGAGUGUUUGGGUGUAAAACCCAGGCGCGUAAUGAAAGUGAAAGGUUGGGACUCUUCGCUGAGGCACCGACGCCCGAUCCUGACGUUCUCUGACGGAUUUGAGGUAGAGCAUGUAUGUUGGGACCCGAAAGAUGGUGAACUAUGCCUGAAUAGGGCGAAGCCAGAGGAAACUCUGGUGGAGGCUCGUAGCGAUUCUGACGUGCAAAUCGAUCGUCAAAUUUGGGUAUAGGGGCGAAAGACUAAUCGAACC